AGUACGAUCGCAAGAUUAAAACUCAAAGGAAUUGACGGGGCCCCGCACAAGCAGCGGAGCAUGCGGCUUAAUUCGACGCAACGCGAAGAACCUUACCAAGGCUUGACAUAUAGCGAAAAGUGGCAGAGAUGUCAUGUCCGCAAGGGCGCUAUACAGGUGGUGCAUGGUUGUCGUCAGCUCGUGUCGUGAGAUGUUGGGUUAAGUCCCGCAACGAGCGCAACCCUCGUUCUGUGUUACCAGCAUUCAGUUGGGGACUCACAGGAGACUGCCGGGGUUAACUCGGAGGAAGGUGGGGAUGACGUCAAAUCAUCAUGCCCCUUAUGUCUUGGGCUGCACGCAUGCUACAAUGGCCGGUACAAAGUGCUGCGAAAUCGUAAGAUUUAGCGAAUCACAUAAAGCCGGUCUCAGUUCGGAUUGAGGUCUGCAACUCGACCUCAUGAAGUUGGAGUUGCUAGUAAUCGUAGAUCAGCAACGCUACGGUGAAUACGUUCCCGGGGCUUGUACACACCGCCCGUCACGUCACGAAAGUCGGUAACACCCAAAGUUAGUGGCCCAACCGCAAGGGGGGAGCUACCUAAGGUGGGAUCGGUGAUUGGGACG
RNAcentral lists this ribosomal RNA (600 nucleotides) under uncultured bacterium. RNAcentral's name for it is "bacterial SSU rRNA". It matches the Rfam family "Bacterial small subunit ribosomal RNA", at positions 879 to 1482 of the family's 1533-position model. The record is from RNAcentral.